AACGCGAAGAACCUUACCUACCCUUGACAUCCGGCUGACCGGUGAGUAAUGUCACCUUUCCUUCGGGACAGCCGAGACAGGUGGUGCAUGGUUGUCGUCAGCUCGUGUCGUGAGAUGUUGGGUUAAGUCCCGCAACGAGCGCAACCCUUAUCUUUAGUAGCCAGCGGUUCGGCCGGGCACUCUAGAGAGACUGCCAGGGAUAACCUGGAGGAAGGUGGGGAUGACGUCAAAUCAUCAUGCCCCUUAUGGGUAGGGCUACACACGUGCUACAAUGGCGUAAACAAAGGGAGGCAGAGCCGCGAGGCCGAGCAAAUCUCAAAAAUAACGUCUCAGUUCGGAUUGUAGUCUGCAACUCGACUACAUGAAGCUGGAAUCGCUAGUAAUCGCGAAUCAGAAUGUCGCGGUGAAUACGUUCCCGGGUCUUGUACACACCG
RNAcentral lists this ribosomal RNA (434 nucleotides) under uncultured bacterium. RNAcentral's name for it is "bacterial SSU rRNA". It matches the Rfam family "Bacterial small subunit ribosomal RNA", at positions 958 to 1392 of the family's 1533-position model. The record is from RNAcentral.